RNAcentral lists this ribosomal RNA (502 nucleotides) under uncultured bacterium. RNAcentral's name for it is "bacterial SSU rRNA". It matches the Rfam family "Bacterial small subunit ribosomal RNA", at positions 353 to 871 of the family's 1533-position model. The record is from RNAcentral.
AGUGGGGAAUAUUGGGCAAUGGGCGAAAGCCUGACCCAGCAACGCCGCGUGAAGGAAGAAGGUUUUCGGAUCGUAAACUUCUAUCCCGGGUGAAGAUAAUGACGGUAGCCCGGAAGGAAGCCCCGGCUAACUACGUGCCAGCAGCCGCGGUAAUACGUAGGGGGCAAGCGUUGUCCGGAAUGAUUGGGCGUAAAGGGCGCGUAGGCGGCCAACUAAGUCUGGAGUGAAAGUCCUUCUUUUAAGGAGGGAAUUGCUUUGGAAACUGGAUGGCUUGAGUGUAGGAGAGGUUAGUGGAAUUCCCGGUGUAGCGGUGAAAUGCGUAGAGAUCGGGAGGAACACCAGUGGCGAAGGCGACUAACUGGACUAUGACUGACGCUGAGGCGCGAAAGUGUGGGGAGCAAACAGGAUUAGAUACCCUGGUAGUCCACACUGUAAACGAUGAAUGCUAGGUGUAGGGGGUAUCGACCCCUUCUGUGCCGGAGUAAACGCAAUAAGCAUUCCG